UACGUAGGGUGCGAGCGUUAAUCGGAAUUACUGGGCGUAAAGCGUGCGCAGGCGGUUUUGUAAGCCAGAUGUGAAAUCCCCGGGCUUAACCUGGGAAUGGCAUUUGGGACUGCAAGGCUGGAGUGUGGCAGAGGAGACUGGAAUUCCUGGUGUAGCAGUGAAAUGCGUAGAUAUCAGGAGGAACACCGAUGGCGAAGGCAGUGUUCUGGGCCAGUACUGACGCUGAGGAGCGAAAGCGUGGGGAGCAAACAGG
Molecule: ribosomal RNA, 253 nt
Filed under: uncultured bacterium
Lineage: Bacteria
Description: partial 16S ribosomal RNA
Rfam family: Bacterial small subunit ribosomal RNA
Source: RNAcentral